Long non-coding RNA from Ipomoea nil (Japanese morning glory), 149 nucleotides. RefSeq lists it as uncharacterized. The record is from RefSeq and is a predicted model, not a curated record. The transcript has 2 exons. NCBI's taxonomy places the organism in Eukaryota, Viridiplantae, Streptophyta, Magnoliopsida, Solanales, Convolvulaceae.
AAACUGUCAAUGUAGCCAACGAUUGAAGCUACAAACAUCUUGGACUAAUGAUAAUCCAGGUAGAAGGUAUUGGGAGUGUCGAUUUGAAAAUGGAUGGCAAAUGUGUGGUUUUGUUAGAUGGUAUGAUCCUCCCAUGUGUGCUAGGUCAA